GCCGUUCCUCUCUCCCGCCUUCACUUUCGUUGCUGCAGCCUCCCUCGCCGUCGGACCACCAUCACGCCACUGUUUCGUUCGCAGCAACCACCACCGCGCCACCAGCCGCGCCCAUAACGAUUGUUCGCCGCCGCACCACCAACAACCAUCGCGCGGACGCUGACACCCUCCGCCGUACUCCUCCGACCAGCGUCGCCGCCCACUGUUGCCGCGCCGCCCUGCCUGCCGGCCAGCAGCUCCCCUCUCCUCUCUUUUUUUGGCGGAGAAUUCUCUUUAGGCGACCUUUGAAAGUGUUAAAGUGACGUAUUAGUUUGUUUACACAAGUCUCUAGGGAUCAAUAAGCAUCGUCCAUUACAGGUUUGAAGGUGAUGCAUCAUGGGGUUCGGGAUUGAAGAGCUGUGUAGUUAUUAAAUUGUUUUGUUUUAAGUUUGAUGUUGAAU
Molecule: long non-coding RNA, 440 nt
Organism: Spinacia oleracea (spinach)
Lineage: Eukaryota; Viridiplantae; Streptophyta; Magnoliopsida; Caryophyllales; Amaranthaceae
Exons: 5
Source: RefSeq, a predicted model, not a curated record